GAGUUAUUAGCUCAAUUGGUAGAGCAAUUCGCUUACAACGAGAAGGUUAGUGGUUCGAUUCCGCUAUGACUCA
Molecule: transfer RNA, 73 nt
Filed under: Prasiola crispa
Lineage: Eukaryota; Viridiplantae; Chlorophyta; Trebouxiophyceae; Prasiolales; Prasiolaceae
Description: tRNA-Val
Rfam family: tRNA
About the family: Transfer RNA (tRNA) molecules are approximately 80 nucleotides in length. Their secondary structure includes four short double-helical elements and three loops (D, anti-codon, and T loops). Further hydrogen bonds mediate the characteristic L-shaped molecular structure. tRNAs have two regions of fundamental functional importance: the anti-codon, which is responsible for specific mRNA codon recognition, and the 3' end, to which the tRNAs corresponding amino acid is attached (by aminoacyl-tRNA synthetases). tRNAs cope with the degeneracy of the genetic code in two manners: having more than one tRNA (with a specific anti-codon) for a particular amino acid; and 'wobble' base-pairing, i.e. permitting non-standard base-pairing at the 3rd anti-codon position.
Source: RNAcentral